Molecule: non-coding RNA, 89 nt
Filed under: unclassified sequences
Source: RNAcentral
GAAUAUUUGCCACCGGGCAAAGUGAUGCACGAGCAUCCGUAACACAUCGUUAGGUCUUUGAAGAUGUGUAAGCGGGUGCUUGUUUAUUU